This is a non-coding RNA of Manis javanica (Malayan pangolin), 10760 nucleotides long. NCBI's taxonomy places the organism in Eukaryota, Metazoa, Chordata, Mammalia, Pholidota, Manidae. The record is from RefSeq and is a predicted model, not a curated record.
CCGAGAGUCGAUGUCCCCUCGCCGCGGGCCGCGGGGGUGACGCGGGGCUUCAGCUGCCACCGGCCCCAGCCUGCGGACCCCCGGGGCCGCUCCCCACAGGGCAGCUGGGACUCCGACGGAGGAGGCGGAGGCAGCCGGGUCUGAAUGCAGGCGCCAGCGCCGGGCUUUCCUCAGAAAAGAGCUCUCUCCAGCCCCCGGCUGUUGGACGAAGGCAUGCGGUGGUUAUUUCCUCCUCCGUCUCGUUGGUGAGGUCCUGUCGGGCGACCUCGGUUUGGGGGAUCCAGCUCCUGUACCACCCUCUGGGUAAAGGCGGGACUGGAUUCCACUUUGGGGUGAGUUUGCUGGAAUAUUUGUGUGUGUGCUGGAUGGACACCUCCCCAUUUCUUUCCUGCCUGCUUCUGUGUGCCUGAAAUUUUUAAUUGUUUUGGAAUCCGCUGGGGUGUCCCUGUUGUGCACAAUUCCUGGGAAGUUUAUCAUGUUGUGGACCAGCUGAACCAGACCUGGUCACAGGAUGUGGCCACGCACUUGGGGCCCACAGGACCCCCAACCCGGAGGGCCCAGUGCCUGCUGGUGAGUGCACUCAGACCAUUUUUCAGACAUUAAGGAGAGAGAGCUCACAAUUUGAGCACGGACGUCAAAAAGGGAAAAUUUCGUGUUUUCUGCACCUCCGAGACAGGUUCCACGCCCAAAGUCUUGGCCCUACAAGAUCCGGUCCCAAAGUCUCAGAGACUCAGAACUUAAAGAAACCAAACCCUCCCUUUACCCAGUCCUGCAGGACACCAUCUCAGAGGAGUUCAUCUUUCCACCACCCUAUCAGCCCCUCCCAACAGCCCCGCUGGCAGAGCCAGUAGAACCUGAUGGAGAAGAACCAGUUCCAGAAGAACCAGUUCCUGUUCCUGAAGGAGGAAUGCCCACGCGCGGACCCUGUGGCGGGGACAUGGGGCGAGUCAAUCGGCAGCCCUCAGCCAAGGACCUGCUGACCCAAUUGUCCUCCCCCUGCAUACCACAGGGCCCCCUGAUGAAACAGGACAGCCAAUGCACUAUUGGCCAUUGUCCACUAGUGACCUCUAUAACUGGAGAACUCAGAAUGCUGUUUUCAGAAAACCCCAGAGAUCUUCUUAACCUUUUAGACACUGUUCUUUUUACCCAUCAGCCCACGUGGGAUGAUUGCCAACAGCUCUUACAGGUUCUUUUUACCACUGAGGAGAGAGAAAGGGGCCAGGUGGAAGCCCAGAAGUUGGUUCUGGGUGACAGCAGAUAGCCCACCCAGAACCCAGAUCUCAUAAAUGCUGCUUUUCCUCUCUCUCAUCCAAACUGGGACUACAAUUCAGCAGAAGGUAAGGAGAGACUCCGGGUCUAUCGCCAGACUCUGUUGGCAGGUCUCAGGGCAACUGCACGAAAGCCCACUAAUUUGGCUAAGGUAUAUAAUGUUCAACAAGGGAGGGAUGAAAGCCCAGCGGCAUUUCUAGAGAGAAUCAUGGAGGCUUUUAGACAGUACACCCCCAUGGAUCCUGAAGCUCCAGAGAACACAGCCGCUAUAGUUAUGGCUUUCGUCAACCAAGCUGCUCCAGACGUAAAGAGAAAAUUACAGAGAGUAGAGAGAUUAGGAGAAAGGAGCUUGCAGGACCUGGUAGUUGUGGCAGAAAGAGUUUUUAAUAAUCGAGAGAGCCCGGAGGAACAACAGACAAGAAUAAACAACCGCCAGACUCGAAACUUGGCUAAAAUACUGCUGGCUACGACUGCAGAGAGCCCUCAGGAGUGACAGAGACACCUUAAGAAACUGGCCACUGGACAAGGUAAGGAAGACCCCACCCAAGGGAACUGCCCUAAAUUAAAUAAGAACCAGUGUGCAUAUUGCAAAGAGGAAGGCCACUGGAUCAAGGACUGUCCUAACAAGAGACCCAAAAAGACCCCCAUUGCUAUCCUGGGUACCGAAAGCAUUGAUGACUAGGGGCGACUGUGUUUGGCACUCCUCCGCAAGCCCAGGGUAACUCUAAAAGUGGAGGGGCAACCUAUAGAAUUCCUUGUGGACACCGGAGCUCAACACUCCAUCCUAUUACAACCCCAAGGAAAAUUGGCAGAUAAAACCUCAUGAGUACAGGGAGCUAUGGGGGUGAAAUAAUAUUCAUGGACUACCUGAAGAAUGGUGGACCUCAGCGUGGGCCGGGUAUCCCACUCGUUCAUGGUCAUCCCAGAAUGCCCCUACCCCUUAUUAGGCUGAGAUUUGCUCACCAAGGUAGGGGCACAAAUGAGCUUCCACCCCAAACGGACAAAAAUUCUAAACAAAGAAGGAUAUCCAAUACAGAUGCUCACUAUAAGCCUCGAGGAUGAGUACCACCUGUACCAGGUACUCUUAUCACCAAUGCAUGACUUAAAAUAUUGGCUAUAGACAUUUCCCCAAGCCUGGGCUGAGACAAGGGGAGUGGGAUUAGCUCAACAUAGGCCAGAAAUAUUUAUAGAACUGAAAUCAGGUGCAGAUCCAGUCAGGGUCUGGCAAUACCCGAUGCCACUUGAGGCAAAAGCUGGAAUCACUCCACACAUUAGAAGAUGACUCAAGUUAGGCAUACUGAGACCUUGCCAGUCAGCGUGGAAUACCCCCCUAUUACCAGUCUGAAAACCAAAUCGACUGACUACCGACCAGUCUAAGAUUUGCGUGAGGUAAAGAAGCAGGUGACAGAUGUACACCCAACGGUCCCAAAUCCGUACACCCUCCUCAGCUCAUUGCCUCCUACCUGAACCUGGUAUACAGUCCUAGAUUUAAAGGAUGCCUUUUUCAGCUUGCCCCUGACACCUAAGAGCCAAAACAUCUUUGCCUUCGAGUGGACGGACCUGAAAAAGGAAUUAGCGGCCAGCCUACCUGGACCAGGCUCCCCAAGGAUUCAAGAACUCACCCACCAUCUUCAAUGAGGCCCUACAUGAAGAUCUAAGUGAGUUCUGAUCUAAACACCCAGAAUUAACUCUUUUAAGUACAUAUAUGAUAUCCUGGUAGCCACUGAAGACCAGGAGAUAUGCCUGUGAGGCACCAAGGACAUGCUUUCUACACUAGGAGCCUUGGGUUACCAAGCCUCAGCCAGAAAGGCCCAAAUCUGCAAGACAGAGGUAAGCUAUUUAGGCUAUAAAUUAAAAGGGGGACAGAGAUGGCUCACAGAAGCAAGAAAAGAGACUGUCUUAAGAAUACCGCGCCCACAAAAUGUCUGCCAAAUGCAUGAAUUCCUGGGAUCCGCAGGAUACUGCCGAUUGUGGAUCCCAGGUUUUGCGGAAAUAGCUAGAUCCCUUUAUGAAGCCACCAAAGAAAAACAGGAGUUUACAUGAACAGAGACCAUGGAGAACUCAUUCACUAGUCUUAAGCAGGCCUUACUCUCUGCACCUGCACUGGGGCUCCCUGAUUUAACCAGACCUUUCUACCUGUAUGUAGAUGAAAGUAAGGGAGUGGUGACAGGGGUGCUAAUACAGUACAUUGGCCCAUGGAAAAGGCCCAUAGCUUAUUUCUCCAAGCCGCUAGACACUGUUGCCACUGGAUGGCCCCCCUGUCUGUGAAUCAUCACUGCAGUAGCUACCAUGGUCAAAAAUGCAGACAAACUAACACUAGAACAAGAAUUAAAUGUCACCACCCCACACGCAAUCGAAGGGGUGCUCAAACAGCCACCAGACAGGUGGAUAAGUAAUGCCCAACUAACGCAUUACCAAGGACUGCUCUUAAAUCCUGCCAGAAUUCUGUUCCACACACCCGUGUCGGUGAACUCAGCCACCCUCCUCCCCAACCCAGACUGGGAGGCACCAUUCCAUGACUGUGGGGAGGUCCUGGCUCAUGUUCACAGAGUCAGAACUGACCUGUGAGAUCAGCCACUGGCAGAAGCAGAUGCCACCUGGUACACCGAUGGAAGCAACUUCAUGCAAGACAGAGUAAGAUAUGCAGGGUUGAGACAGAAACUGUCUGGGCUGAGCCACUGGCUCCAGGAACUUCAGCCCAGCGGGCAGAGCUGAUCAUGCUGACCAGAGCAUUGACUAUGGCCAAAGACAAACGCCUUAAUGUCUAUAUGGACAGUAGGUAUGCAUUUGCCACUGCCCACAUACAUGGAGCCAUCUAUAGAGAGGGGAAGCUAUUGACUGCCGAAGGAAAAGCCAUCAAAAAUAAAGAAGAAAUUCUUGACCCCCUACCCGCCCUUUAGCUACCCAAAGCACUGGCAAUAAUUCGUUGCCCAGGCCACCAAAAGUCUGACACCUGGGUUGCCAAAGGAAAUAAAUUGGCUGACCAAUGUGCCAAACAGGCAGCCCUUUCUGUGGACCAUGCCCUAGUGACCACAUUGCCAGACCCAGGGGCCCCCAGUCUGCCAGACACCCCCUCCUACACUGAUGAAGACAAAAUGGAUCAAGCAGCUGCCCAUGACCAACUACCUAGAUGAGUGAUGGAGAGCCACCGACUGCAUCAUUCUACCGGAAGAGUUAGGAUGAUGCAUCCUAACCAAAAUGCAUUGGGCUACACACAUGGGGAUGAGAAAAAUGGAAGACUUGGUGUGACAUGCUUGCAUCACUAUCAAGGACUCUCAAUCAAAAAUUGGACAGAUCAUAGCAAGCUGCAAGGCUUGCCAACUGACAAAUGCAGCCGCCUAUGCGCCCAACCCUGGUGCCAGACUCUGAGGACAGUAGGUAUGCAUUUGCCACUGCCCACGUAGACAGGCCAGGCGUCUAUUGGGAAGUGGAUUUCACAUAGGUAAAGCCCGGAAAAUAUGGGUACAGGUAUUUGCUAGUGUUUGUAGACACUUUUUCAUGUUGGAUCGAGGCAUUUCCCACCAAGCAUGAGACAGCGCAGACCAUGGCCAAGAAACUGUUAGAAGACAUCCUGCCAAGGCACAGUUUUCCUGCCAGGAUAAGCUCAGACAGUGGACCAGGAUUUGCUUCCAAGGUAACACAGGGAGUAGCACAGGUUCUUGGGGCAGAUUGGAAAUUACAUUGUGCGUAUAGGCCCCUAAGUUCAGGACAGGUAGAAAGAAUGAACAGAACUUUAAAAGAGACCUUGACUAAAUUAGCCCUAGAGACUGGCGGAGACUGGGUGACUCUCCUCCUCUUUGCCCUUUAUUGGGUGCAUAACUCCCCGUAUAAGAUGGGACUUCCUCCCUUUGACAUCAUGUAUGGCAUUCCUCCACCUAUUAUUCCCACUCUCAAACCCAAAGUACUUGCUGAACUUGAUGAUCACCAAUUCCUUUUUUCCCUCCAAAUGUUGCAACGAACCCAUGAGCAGGUCUGGCCUAAGCUGAAAGCUCUUUAUGAGACCGGACCCCCUCCAGAACCGCACCGCUAUCGUCCAGGUGACUGGGUGUACGUCCGGAGACACCAACACCAGACACUUCAACCACGCUGGAAGGGACCCUACAUCGUGAUCCUGACCACUCCCACCGCUCUCAAGGUCAACGGAAUUACUCCCUGGGUCCACUGCACCCACAUCUGACCAGCUGACCCACACGCCGUUCUCAAGAACUUUGUUCCAAAAUGGAAAAGUCAGCUGGACAAAGACAAUCCUCUAAAGCUAAGACUGCGCCGUUCUCACCUAUCCCACUAAUGUUACUUAUACUAUGCCUUCCUCAUAUCAAAACCAGCAACCCUAACCCCUAUACCCCCUAUCAACUCACAUGGGAGGUGAUGAACUGGGAAACGCAUGAAGUAUAUAACAGCACUUCCCAAGAAGCCCCAUUAAACACGUGGUUCCCUGACUUGUACUUUAACCUAGACAAGGUGGCAGACAUUGAAAGAAUGGAAGGGGGAAACUGGCGUAAAGUACAGCGCCGGGUCUCUGUGAGUCGAAAUGGGUUUUAUGCGUGCCCUGGGUUUCGAAAAGGAUCAGAGAGACUUCAGUGCGGAGGAGUUGAGUCCCUUUACUGUGCACAGUGGAGUUGUGUUACCACCAAUGAUGGAGAGUGGAAGUGGCGAGUGACUCCCCAGCUCAUCACUCUCUCAUUUAUUAGGCCAUGCACCCGAACUUGGUACAAUUAUAACUGUAAUCUAAUCAGGCUCCAGUUCACAGAGAAGGGAAAAAGAGAUAAGCGAUGGCUGUCAGGGUUAACUUGGGGCCUAUAUCUCUAUCAGAGACCUAGUUUUGGAACUGUUAUCCAGAUCAAAUUAAAAGCUGAGCCAAUAGUUAAGGCGGCCAUAGGUCCAAAUAAGGUAUUAACAGAAGAGAGCCCUAAGGAACCCAAAAUCAUAGCACCUCCACCGUCCACUGGGAUACCCAGGCCAGGGCUGGUAAAUACAUAUACACCCCCACAUCCUAAAAACGAAGGCCCUUUAUGAGAACUACUUCUUGCUUCAUAUCAGACUUUAAAUGCUACCAACCCAAAUGUUACCAACGCCUGCUGGCUCUGUUACGAUAUGAAACCCCCUUUUUAUGAGGCAGUAGACUUCAAUGGGACCUAUACAGUAACAGAAUCCAAAGAAAAAUGUAAAUGGGGAUCUGGUCAGAAAGGCCUCACUCUACAGUCAGUGGAAGGCACCGGCCCUUGCAUAGGGAAAGUGCCUUCUACCCAACAAAGGCUUUGCAAUCAGCAGACAGAUAAAAGUUCAACCAAUUCUUCUUCCUGGUAUGUUCCCCCUGAAAACGGAUGGUGAGUCUACUCUGAGUCCGGGUUGACCCCAUGUGUAAAUAGUGCUGUCUCUGAUUUAGCUAAAGAAUAUUGUGUCUUAUGUCUCUCCCAGGAUUUUGUACCAUCCUGAAGAAGAAGUAUAUACCUACUUAAAAAAAGAUUGUCAGGUGCAAAUAGGCACAGGAAAAAGCGAGGACCUCUCACUGCCAUAACUAUUGCUACCUUAUUUGGACCAGGGGUAGCCGGACUAGGGGUAGCCGGACUAGGAACCAGAACUGCUUCCCUGGUCGCCAAUAACCGACACCUUGCAAGCCUAAGGGCUGCUGUAGAUGAAGAUAUAGAAAGAAUAGAAGCCUCCAUCACCAGUCUAGAGAAAUCUCUAGUCUCACUAUCUGAAGUGGUCUUACAGAAUAAAAGAGGGUUAGACUUACUGUUCCUACAGCAGGGGGGUCUCUGUGCAGCCUUAAAAGAAGAAUGUUGCUUUUAUGUUAAUCACAGCGGGGUAGUCAGAGAAAAUAUGGCCAAAGUCAGAGAAGGUCUGACAAAGAGAACAAAAGAGCAGCAACAAAGCUGGUUCAUAUCCUGGUUCAAUAGCUCACCCUGGCUAACUACCCUAAUCUCCACCCUGCUAGGACCCUUAGUAAGUGCUAAUGAUAAUUUUGACCUUUGGACCAUGUAUCCUCAAUAGACUGAUGACUUUUGUCAAAGAUAGAAUUAAUACAGUCCAGCUAAUGGUACUAAGACAACAGUAUCAGCCUUUAUCCACUCACAACUGGGAAAUCUCAUUAGACCCAUGAUUGAAUCCCUUCUUAGGAUCCAGAGAAAAAGGAGGAAUGAAAGGGCAAGCUCCCAGAUCCUAUUUCAGCCAGUUGGGGCCCAGAUCCUAUUUCAGCCAAUCAGGGCUCGGGCUCUCCCCACACCAGUCAGCAAGAUGCCCGCCAACUCCCCAGCCAAUCCGCCAGAGCCACGACCAUCAAUCACCCCACCGACUACCCCUAGACCCAGCCAAUCAGCCAAGACUGCACUCCUCACCCCACCAACGCCCUUAGAGCCCCAUAAAACCUUCCUGUUUUUGAAACACCCUCUAUCUCUGGCAUCUCGCCACCGCUGCUGUGUCGGUAGCAGAUGGGAGACUGAGCUGGAACCGGCUGGAAUAAAGGCUCUUUGCUUUUGCAUCAGUGUUGGCUCCUCGGUGGUCUUCUGGGAUUCAUGACUUUGGGCAUAACACCCAAAAGGCCCUAUAACAUUAAGCACACCUCCUCAGGCUGCCCACACUCCCCUUUCUUCAAGUGUGUGCUGUGCCUCAAGGACUGCCCACCGCUCUACUUACUGCAUUUUGUCUCUGAACUCCUCCAGUGGUAAGCAUCUUUGUUACUUCGCUAUUUCAUUCAAUUUUCUAGGCUUUAGCAUAAGUCUUCACCCUCUCUGUCCUAUAUCAGACAAGUAGGGAAGGGCCACUGAGAUCUCUGAUUUAGGCUUGCAAGGACCCACUGCCUGGGUGACCUGGACAGGACUGCAGCUGUACCAUCAUGCUCUUUAGUAGCCUGCCUGAAAAUCUCCUUUCUUUGCCUUUGGGAAGUUCUCCAACAUAGUCUUACUUGUAGUGCGCCGCAGCUUCUCCGAAUCCUGAGGGGGUAGUGGCUUAGUUCCCACACUGUGCAGAUUCAAGUGGACGCCCGGUGGCCCUGGCUCCAGGAGUUGGCAAGGGAUUUGCCCUGCCCCAAGCAGGAGUUCAGUGAGCUGCCCUUUCUUCCCUCUGCCCUUCCUUGCUCUUUGCUGCCUGCGCAAUGCUGCCAUUCGCCGCUUCUCUCGCUUUAAUGAAUUCCUUCCUUACCUACACCUGUCCGACCUGGUUGAGAAUUCUUUCUUGAUCAGAGUCAAGAAUCCUCCCCUGUCGGGGUUGAGGUUUCACCUGGUGUGCAGGGAAAGACCUCCCCAGAUGCAGCUGCCUGACAACAGAAGGAGAGAGAGGGAGGUUGAGGGGGCCCAAGGGAGCAGAAAGAGAAGAGCGCUCUGUAGGCAGGCCAGAGGGCCACCCCACACCUGCUGUGGACAGGUUGAGGGCCUGGGAUGGUCCCGAGUGAUGACAGGGUCUGUCCUCGACUGUCUUGCUACCAGCACCAGCAACAGGCUUAUUUUCCAGGGGCCCUACAGGGUUUUCACAGGCCAGCAGUUAAGUUGGUUUUUACGCUUCACCUUGGAGGAUGCCAGCUCCGUCAGCAGCACCGGGAAGUCCCUUGGGCCAAGAGCCUUGGCCGAUGGAUUUCAUUCCACAAUCUCUGAACACAACAACGUGAGGUUGGCAUUUCCGUCAUUGUGUUCAGCCCCCUCCCCGCCACGCUCUUCCACAUGCACACACGUUUCCCCCACUUAAGCAGCUUCCCUCCAGCUCGCUGCACACGUGUGUAGUGGGGGCAACAUAAAUGUUUUCACUAAAAUCUCCUGGUGACAGGCAACCCCACUGAGCUCUUUCAGCACUGUCAUCCACCCGCUGUGCUUCGGAGAUAAAUGGUCGUCACAGCCCGAGGCCUAGAGGGGGGUCCUCAGUGUGUGUCCUGGGCUGGAGUCAGCCUGACCCUGAGCUGCUCUCAGCUCCUCCCCUGGGUACAUAAGAUGAAACAGGCAGGGAACCCCAGUUUGAUAAGACUACUGGGUCUGCCCAUGUCAUUUCGUGUUCUCAAUGAUUUCUCAUCUCAGUUGUUAAAAUUGUGGUCAUCCCAAGAAAAAAAUGCUUAUGACACGGCAAUAAAGGAUGUUUCGUCAGAUUUUUUAACUGCCUCCCUCUGAAAGAAUAAACUGAAACCAACUGUUCAAAGGUAUGCUUUCUAUUUACUUUCUGUAGCAUUUAUUUUUUGUAUCUGGCAUUGAAAGUAUAGACAGUCCCACAUAUUCUAAAGGGAACAAAAUAACCCACAAGUACUUAGCAUCUACUCAUUUCCAACCGUAAGUCCCCGGUUUCACUUCAGUUUAGCAGACUAUUGCCCACUUCAGUAACUAAAUGCACAAAAUGAUAAUACCCUAAUAUGCACAUCUCUUGAAAGUGGUGUCGUAAUUCAUAAUUUGCCAGCUUGCAAGCAGUUUCCUUGGAGUACCCAGGGCUCCCCCGUGCUUCUUAAUUCUGUACUCUCUGUGCAAAAACACAACAGUUGGAGUCAACUGCAGGCAAACUGCUUUCUUUUUAAUUUUUGACAUGUUACCCAGAAUAGCGGUGUGGACUUGUUUACUUGGUUUUCACUGAGGAACGUUCUUUUUCUUCCAAGGAAUACACGAGAAGAGUUCCCGUCUCGGAACGCGGAGCUCCGAGCAGGGACUUGUCUGGCUAAAAGUGCUCCAAGAGGAAAUGCCUUCUUGGUUGCUGGGCUUCAUGGGGAGGAAGUGGCCUGUGUCCUGGGACCGUAAGAGAACAAUUGUUUCGGCAGGGGCGGCCCUCAGUCUGCCCUCUGGGAGCCUUGGUGCUGCUCGGUUUCAGAAGUGACUCUGGAAGAGCCCCUUGUCCCCAGGGUGAUACUGGAGUGUGAGGCUGCAGCCAGAGGCCGUGUGGACGUAGUUUCUCACCCGUGACGGACCUGCCUCUGUGAGGCAAAGAGGCCUGGUACGUCUCUGAUACUUAAUUCUCAAAAUUAGCCAAAACCUGCAAGCAACCAGAGACAAAAAGAGGAAACUGAUUAAGCAAACUGUAUAGUGGAAAGCUGCACAGGAGACUUGGAUCAAGUGAGAAAGAAACAGGCUUCAACUUAAUGUAUGAUCCUAUUUAUACAAAGUCCAAAAUCAGGCAAAAGUAAUUCUGUGGUGACAGAGGUCAGAAAACUGACUUGGGGGAGGUGGUAUGGGAUGAGGGGGCCUUGUCUCGUGCCUUAGGGCAGUUGACGGAGUACAUGCAAAUGUGAAAGCACACCUAAAAUCUGCUCUUCACUAUAUAUAAACUACCUCAAUGAAAAAGAAAACCUAUUGUGUGAUUUCAUUUAUAAAGUUCAUGAGCAGAAAAACUAGGCUCUGAUGCAGAAGCCCAGUGGUUCCCUCUGGGCGUGGGUGGCUGGGAAUAGAAUAAGGGGGCUUCUGGCGGCAGUCAUGUUAAGGGCUGUGGUCACAGAGGUGUAUUCUCUUUGUGGUAGUCCAGCGGUCUGCUGAGGAUUUGUGAUUUUCUGUUUGGAUGCUGUACUUCAAUAAAAGAUUAUUAAAAAAUAA